This 497-nucleotide ribosomal RNA is filed under the name uncultured bacterium. Its description in RNAcentral is "partial 16S ribosomal RNA". It matches the Rfam family "Bacterial small subunit ribosomal RNA", at positions 28 to 507 of the family's 1533-position model. The record is from RNAcentral.
GAUGAACGCUGGCGGCGUGCCUAAUACAUGCAAGUCGAGCGAACAGACGAGGAGCUUGCUCCUCUGACGUUAGCGGCGGACGGGUGAGUAACACGUGGAUAACCUACCUAUAAGACUGGGAUAACUUCGGGAAACCGGAGCUAAUACCGGAUAAUAUAUUGAACCGCAUGGUUCAAUAGUGAAAGACGGUUUUGCUGUCACUUAUAGAUGGAUCCGCGCCGCAUUAGCUAGUUGGUAAGGUAACGGCUUACCAAGGCAACGAUGCGUAGCCGACCUGAGAGGGUGAUCGGCCACACUGGAACUGAGACACGGUCCAGACUCCUACGGGAGGCAACAGUAGGGAAUCUUCCGCAAUGGGCGAAAGCCUGACGGAGCAACGCCGCGUGAGUGAUGAAGGUCUUCGGAUCGUAAAACUCUGUUAUUAGGGAAGAACAAAUGUGUAAGUAACUAUGCGCGUCUUGACGGUACCUAAUCAGAAAGCCACGGCUAACUACGUG